AGGACGAACGCUGGCGGCGCGCCUAACACAUGCAAGUCGAGCGAUAACCAGUCCUUCGGGACUGGGGACAGCGGCGAACGGGUGAGUAACACGUGGGUGAUCUACCCUCGGUUUCGGGAUAGCCCGGGGAAACCCGGAUUAAUACCGAAUGGCCUCUAGAGCUCUCGGGCUCGAGAGAAAAGGUAGCUUCGGCCUCUGACCGAGGAUGAGCCCGCGGCCGAUUAGCUAGUUGGUGGGUAACGCCCACCAAGGCGACGAUCGGUAGCUGGUCUGAGAGGACGAUCCGCCACA
This 291-nucleotide ribosomal RNA is filed under the name uncultured soil bacterium. Its description in RNAcentral is "partial 16S ribosomal RNA". It matches the Rfam family "Bacterial small subunit ribosomal RNA", at positions 26 to 312 of the family's 1533-position model. The record is from RNAcentral.